GCGCGAAAACUUUACAAUGCUGGCAACAGCGAUAAGGGAACCUCGAGUGCCAGGUUACAAAUCUGGCUGUCGAGAUGCCUAAAAAGCAUUUCAUAGCAAGGGCCGGGCAAGACCGGUGCCAGCCGCCGCGGUAACACCGGCGGCUCGAGUGGUAACCGUUAUUAUUGGGUCUAAAGGGUCUGUAGCCGGCCGGAUAAGUCUCUUGAGAAAUCUGGCAGCUUAACUGUCAGGCUUUCAGGAGAUACUGUCUGGCUCGAGGCCGGGAGAGGUGAGAGGUACUUCAGGGGUAGGGGUGAAAUCUUGUUAUCCUUGAAGGACCACCAGUGGCGAAGGCGUCUCACCAGAACGGACCUGACGGCAAGGGACGAAAGCUAGGUGCACGAACC
Molecule: ribosomal RNA, 386 nt
Filed under: uncultured prokaryote
Description: bacterial SSU rRNA
Rfam family: Archaeal small subunit ribosomal RNA
Source: RNAcentral